AUCAAAUCUCUAUGAACCAAUGUAUUUGACCCCUCGAUAAAAUAUGAUUUUACACUUAUUAAAAAUCUUACAAAAGUAUUCAAUAUGUUCUAAAAUGAUUUCUUUCUGUAGCUACCCCUCCCACCCCUGCAUUUGUAAUGAGGCCAUCCAGAGGGACGAACUCCAUAAUUAUGUUUAACUCAUCCGCUGUCUUCAGAUUCCAAACAUAACUUUUUUAGCGUAGAAACGGAUAAACGACGCAGCACAUCGUACAUAUUUACCGCAACAAUGGGUCAAAAUUCAGUGGAUGCAGUCAAGUUUCACCGGAAGAUGAAUUGGGCAAUGCCUAGGACGGUAGUUACUAUAAAGAAAAACGGUAGUAAAACAUACAAACAAGGAAGAGGUGUAGACGUCACAGUCUACGGUAACGCUGAAGUGGUCGUCACCUAUUUUGUUGAUAUACCCACAAAGUGGACUUAAAAGGGAUUGCUAACUGAGCUUAGUACACCACAAUUCAUCAUUUCUAAAAAAUGAAGAUACCGGUACAAUCUCCAUUAGCAACGGACCACGUGCUUCCUUCGAGUCAGCAACAGCAACCCAGGUCAUAUACAGUUCCAGAGCCAAUGAAAAAUGUUGGCUCAUCAAGGAUUUGAACACAGCAUCGCUCGGCAUAAACAGCGACGGUUUCAUUAUAGUUUAGUAAGUUAAAAUUAAAUAGAUGGCAUAUACAUGC
Molecule: long non-coding RNA, 712 nt
Organism: Saccostrea cuccullata (small rock oyster)
Lineage: Eukaryota; Metazoa; Mollusca; Bivalvia; Ostreida; Ostreidae
Exons: 3
Source: RefSeq, a predicted model, not a curated record